This 301-nucleotide ribosomal RNA is filed under the name uncultured bacterium. RNAcentral's name for it is "partial 16S ribosomal RNA". It matches the Rfam family "Bacterial small subunit ribosomal RNA", at positions 509 to 807 of the family's 1533-position model. The record is from RNAcentral.
CAGCAGCCGCGGUAAUACGAAGGGUGCAAGCGUUACUCGGAAUUACUGGGCGUAAAGCGUGCGUAGGUGGUGGUUUAAGUCCGUUGUGAAAGCCCUGGGCUCAACCUGGGAAUUGCAGUGGAUACUGGGUCACUAGAGUGUGGUAGAGGAUAGUGGAGUUUCCGGUGUAGCAGUGAAAUGCGUAGAGAUCGGAAGGAACAUCUGUGGCGAAGGCGACUAUCUGGGCCAACACUGACACUGAGGCACGAAAGCGUGGGGAGCAAACAGGAUUAGAUACCCCCGUAGUCCCUGUCUCUUAUAC